Canis lupus familiaris (dog) is the source of this 7077-nucleotide RNA transcript. It is a transcript of the gene named polycomb group ring finger 5, with no coding region annotated. The transcript has 12 exons. Lineage: Eukaryota; Metazoa; Chordata; Mammalia; Carnivora; Canidae. The record is from RefSeq and is a predicted model, not a curated record.
CGGGGCGCGGGGACCGGCCAGGCCGCGGCGGGCGCUGUUUCUCUUUCACUUUCCUUCCCUCCGAGGCCGGCGCGCUGGCGGGCGAGGAGCGGCGGCGGCGGCGGCCGCGGGGGGACUUUCUCUGAACUCUGGAGCUUCGUGGCAAACCUGUGGAGAAGGCAGGGCCGCUAGUCCCGAGGUGGAGGAGAAGCCUAGACCCAGGCACCGCCGCCUGCGGAAGGUCGUCCAGGCCGAGGACCCGAAGCCCAGACCCUCGGCUCUCCAAGCUCCCUUUGUGUUGCCCCCUCGUGCCACGCAAAGCCCGUUCCGUGCGCGUCCUUCAGGGCGAGUGUCCAUGGGAUGAUGGCUCCGCCUCUCCGGCUGCUUUAUACCUAUAUGGGAAAGCAGAACCACCAAAAGUAGUGAUGACCAGCGAUCUCAUGAUAAAUCUGGAUGUUAGUUCUCAUGCCUCAAGACAUCCAGUUGGGAACUCCACACCGGCUCCUGGGCUCAGACUUCAUCCACUUACUACCCCUCUUUGCCUGAACUACUAAAGCCAGUCCUAGCUAACCACGAAUGGCUACCCAAAGGAAACACUUGGUGAAAGAUUUCAAUCCUCACAUCACCUGCUACAUCUGUAAAGGGUACCUGAUCAAGCCAACCACAGUGACGGAAUGCCUCCAUACCUUCUGUAAGACUUGUAUUGUACAGCACUUUGAAGAUAGCAAUGACUGUCCAAGGUGUGGCAUCCAAGUCCAUGAGACAAAUCCAUUAGAAAUGUUGAGGUUGGAUAAUACAUUAGAGGAAAUUAUAUUUAAGCUGGUCCCUGGACUACGAGAACAGGAACUUGAGCGUGAAUCUGAAUUUUGGAAGAAAAAUAAGCCUCAAGAAAAUGGACAAGAUGAUACUUCAAAAGUUGACAAACCUAAAGUAGAUGAAGAAGGUGAUGAAAAUCAAGAUGAUAAGGACUAUCACAGAAGUGACCCACAAAUUGCUAUAUGUCUAGAUUGUUUACGAAAUAAUGGACAAUCAGGGGACAAUGUAGUAAAGGGUUUAAUGAAGAAAUUCAUUCGAUGUUCUACACGUGUAACUGUGGGAACUAUUAAAAAAUUUUUAAGUUUAAAACUAAAACUUCCAAGUUCUUAUGAGUUGGAUGUGCUGUGCAAUGGUGAAAUUAUGGGGAAGGAUCACACUAUGGAAUUCAUCUACAUGACAAGAUGGCGACUAAGAGGCGAAAACCUGUUCCAUGAUAAUUGGUCCCAAGUACAAGACCAAGAUCUGUGUUAAAUGUGGUUUUGUUAUAUUUAAGUUUCGGUGUCUGAACUGCUCAGCUUCGCAAGUCUGCUCUCAGGAUGGCCCUUUGUAUCAGUCCUACCCCAUGGUAUUGCAGUAUCGACCAAGAAUUGAUUUCGGUUAGACCAAGGGGCCUUGAUCCCACUGAGAUGAAUCCUGCACUUUGUUUACUCAUCAACAGAUCGCACAGUGAACGGUGUGUGGACGAGAGGGACACAACCAGAUUUUCAGCAUGCAAAUAAGGCCAUUGUCUGUCUCUAAGUUGUCAGUUGCAUUUAUGUUGUUUCUAUUAAGAGUGAACCAAGUGCCAUUCUGCUACUGAACCACCCGCAUAAGGUAUCUGUGCUGUCUCACCAUGUACCAUACAAGCCAGGGUUGAAAUCAGCUAGGUGUGCAGCCAUGAUUCAGCCUCUCGCAUAUCUUGCUUGCUUGUCCUGAGACUGUUCUGAUGUUUGAUUACACUAGUACUAUGACUCAAUCUGUGUGGUGUUGCAGUUUUCACAUACUUAAUAUUUUAUUAAUUUUUGUUUAAAAUAGAGUACUGUACAAGAAAUAAUUAUUGUAUCUUGAAGUUAUUUUGUAUGGGAAAGUAUUUAGAAGAGUGGUUUGUGAGCCACUGUCCUGUUCUCAGUAAGCUUUUUGUGUGCAAAAUAGUUCACUCUUGAGUGUUCAAGUCUUUGGGGAAGAAUUCCAAUUAUUCUUAUCAUUAGAGCACAUUAUAGCUGUAGACAUUUUAAGUCCUCCAGCGGUGUAGUCUACCAGUUGCACAGGAGGGCACAUUAGCCCUCCAGGUUGAACAUGUGUGUGACUCCGUGGAGACCUGAAGUUCGAUUCAUACCCAUUCGAGACAUUAACAGCUGGUCACAUUUACUCUAACAAAAUGGAUGCAUCAGUAAGGUCGACCUUUCAUAAUGCCUUAUGAAAGCAGGUGCUGCUUCAUGAAACGUCACUGUGUAGCCCUUUUUGUAUAUGCAUCCUUAUAUUGUGGCUCCCAUUUAACAAGUAGCGUCUCUCUUUUUAAGUUGGCCUUAGGUGAGUGUCAUUGUGGCAUGCAGAGGGUUAUGAUGAUUUUAAAUAUUAGGAUUUUUAGAGAAGAUAACAUUAGCCAUUUUAUGGAUUUCAGAAGUCUCAAGGCAAUUAUUAAUUAAAACUGUUAGUUACCUGUCACAUUUCCAAACCAUAUGCAUAAAAUAGAAUAAAUGCAGUGUAGUAGGUAAUAUGCUAACCAAAAUUAAUGGUUUGAGGAUAUUUCAUUUUAGAUCCUGUAGUAAUCAGGGGGAAACGGGAUUGUUUUAUACAUAAAUUCAUUAAGGUCAGAGCUGUGAUAAUGUCCUUGAUUUUGCAGUUUUGUUAAGUCUUCCAUUCAUUUUGAGGUUAGUCUGCAAGUCAAAGAAAGUCUUGUUACCUUAAAUUACAUGAAGAAUUUUAUUUUAAACCUUUUAAAAUUUACAGUUUUCUUCAGAAAACUUCUUUGGAAAUUAAGUUUUAUUACUUGCUUCAAAAUAAACAAGUUAACCUCUGAAACUUAGGAAAAAUCUUGAAAGUUAGGAAAACUCUGUUUUAGAAAUCUGACACGAGCACAAUCUGUGUGGUACACACAUAGUUUUUAUAACUGUAUACAUUGUAGAUGUGCUACAUUUUCCAGUAAAAUGUAUCACAGAUAAUGCCUUCUGAAUAUCAAAAUGCUUCUUAGAAAUAACAUUGUUUAACUCUAAAAAACAUAAAAUACAGCUAAAUCUUGAUGCAUUUCACAACCUCUAAAAGUCUGAAACUUCCUAAUUACCUUUUCCAUGUGUCUUUGUUUCAAGUUAGAAAGUCAGUAUUAAAGUCUUCUACUGUUUUUGUUUUGACGUCUGUGAAAAAGGUUAUGGCAAUGCUUUCUGAAUUUCAUUUUGUUAGAUUGUGUUUGUGCCUGGAAGGACUCAAAAGUAGAAUUUAAAAGGCAGAUUUUUGUUGACACUUUAAAAACGGUUAGAAUAGAUCAUUAUAUUCAACCAAAAACAAUUUACUCUCCAGAUGCAGAAAUUAUUUUGCUGUUAUGAAACCCAAUUCCCUGACAUCCCUAAGAAAUUUUAAAAUUAUGAAUCUGUCACAUCUAGGUCAGUGAUUAAAAUAGUGCUUUACAUGUGGAAGUUAAUUAACUCAAAAUUAAUUGAGUGUGCAUUUUUAAAAACCACAAAUGAGACCUGCGUGUUUUUGGGUCCCCAGCCAAAACUUACAGCCUUAAAUGAGUUUUGUAUACCUGAUCUCUUUAAAUUUGGCCUGUUGCUGCCUCCACUCCUUUAAUUUCACUAUUUUCCAAGGAAAUAUAUAGGAAGCAAUUAUGGGAUUGAGAAUAGUUUUAUAUAAAAUUCCUUUAUUCAAUGUUAACACGCUAACAUUUUUAUUGAAAUGCAAUGGAAUAUGUGCCAAAACAUGUGAAAGAUAACUUUAUAUAAAGAAGGGCAUCAGUUACCAGUUAAGUUAGGGAAAGGUGCACAUUUUAUGAUGGUCCCAAGUAAUACAGUGUUACUAUUAAGAACCAUAGACUUCUUCAACAAACCUCUUUUGGUAUAUUCAACUAUAAUUUUCUAAGUAUGGGACUACUUUCAUGUCAAGCAAUACACUAAUUAUCCCCUAAGCCAGAUUAUGGAAUUUGCAAGAAACCAGAUGCAGAAAAAAUAUACAGGCAACUUUUGUGGUCCAUUUUAUAAACUUAGGGUGCUAAUAAAUCUCUUUAUAUAAACAACCUAUAGAAAUAAUCAUCUGAAUCGGCAAAAUUGGAGAAUCAAACUAAAAUUUUUUUAAUCUGUUGUUCAAAAGAACUUUAACUUCCAUAAAAGAUUUUAUAAUCUGCUUUCUCUGCCUUAGAUAUCAGAGACAUCAGAGGGUCAAGGAACCUCAGAUAUAAAGGACUAUGGUCCAUAGAUACCACUUUAGCUGGAGUGAACAGACCCAUUAAUAGAAAAAUCAGAAUACGGCCCUUUCUCUAGAUUAACCAAAACACUGUUAAGUAUAAGAAAAUAAACUAAAAGGCUCAUUGAUGAGGUAAUAUAAGGUCAUUCAGUCUGGGGUACAGGUACCUUGGGUAAUGUCUUUUAAUUACUUUCCUAAAAGUGUAUUUCUUUAGUCUCUUUAUUCAUUGGAAAUAUGUCCCAUACAAAUAUGCCACAUUUUAUAAAUGUAAUUAGUUUGCUCUACUACAUUAUAUACUCUAAUCUAAAUUUAAGCAACUCUAUAAGGGGGAAAAGUGUGUUAUAUAAUAUUGUGAACUGUUUAGCUUUAUUGAAAUAUUUAAGAGAAAGUGCCUCAUUGCUAAAGUGCAUUUCUGUUUAGAUUUACUGCAUAAAUUUUGAGUUAUCUGUUCCUGUCUCUUAUGAAUGGUUUUGUAUCUAGGCACUCAUAAGUUUGAGUAAUCUCUUUUUGAAAGAUUUUCAUAAGAAAUAGAGAUCACCAAAGACCUUCUGCUGUUCAUUAAUAACCAUGGUAAGACAGAGAAUUUUAACAGUUUGGAGGUUGGAAUCUUUUAGGUUGCAAUUUAAUUUUAUAUAGUUAGGCAAUAACCUUGAGUAACUGCUAAAAUAUCACCAAAGAAAGAUUUGAAGCUGAUUUUUGUGAUGAGAUCAAUCAAAUGGAGGUUUUUCUUGCAAUAAUCAGAACACACUUCCUUUCAAAUAUGUCCCUUGUUUUCCCAGCACCACUUGAUAGGUCUUAGGAAAUCCUCAAAGAUGAGAAAGAGAUAAACACCACAAUUGGCUUUCCCUUGGAUGCAAGUGGAAGAAAUGGAUCCUCUGAAAAGAAAACUGAAAUGGAGAUUUUAAUUCGAAUUUGAGAAGCUCUUUAAUUCAUUUCAUGCAGCCCAUAUAAACUAAAAUUAUGCUUAUUUAGUUCCUGGAUUCUUAAUAACAUGAGAAAUUUUAUUAAAGGCAGACUUUGGUAGAAAUGCUGACCAUGCUUACAUGUAUAGAAAAUAGUACAUUCUAUUGGAUUUACAUAAGUAAAUGCUUUUUUUUUCUUUUUCUGGUAUUCAAAAGCAAAUUUUUCAUAAAGGCUUUUUUUUUCCCCCUAAAAAGUAACUCUUUGGCCUAUUUCUCAGUGAUUACUUUGUAAUUAGAAUUUAGCCAUAUAGCCAAACUUUGACAAAAUGGGUCCCAGAUCAAGAGUGUAUACAUCAAGUUAAGCAUUGCCCUCCCACCCUUCUCCUUGGGAGCUUACCCUGUCACCAUCUUGAAGGUAAGGCUUACAUGAUGCAGUCCUUCUGGUAGCUGGGUAAGCUUCUCGGAUGCUCUCUGCUACAUACUCUGGUUUAUCAUAAGGAAUCGUCCAGCAGGCUAAGCUUUAUACCAAGAUGUUAGUUAUAGGAAUUACAAAAAUGAAUGAGUUUGCCAUAACUUUAAUGUUUGGGACUAGAAACAAAAACAUGAAAAUGUUAGUAAUACUUUUAAGAUAUAGAUAUAUAUCCCUGCAAUAAGGAACAUAACAUGUAUGCCACAUCUGGUCUAUGAAAAACUGAAAAAUAUUAAAGAAGAGCUCAGAAACCCCUUUGAAAGCACAAAAUAACCAACCAGUUUUGGAUUUACUUGAUAUACCUAGUUCUACAUGUAGUAUUUCAGUGGAAAAAACAUCAGGUUGAAAGUUCAUUAAAAUGUAUGUACUUAAAUAUACAUUAUAAGAUUUUCAUGGUUUUCUUUUUCUCAAAGCAAAGGCAUUUUCCCAAUAAUUUAAAAUGAUUCUCUUCCUUGUGUAGUCUUCACAAGUAGUGUGUUUACUAUCCUCACUGUAUUUGCAAAUAGAAUUAAAAUGCUUGAGUACUUCCUUUUCAGAAAGUUAUGAAAUUAAACAAAUAUAAUUUAUUUUAAAUGCUCAUUCAUAUAUGUAUACCCAUUAUGCCCCUUUUUCUAGGAUUCAAUACUAAGACAUUGAUCUGAAAUGCCUUUAUCUUUAAAUAUAGAAUCAAGUGAAACAGAGAUGUUAAAAUACUGGGUCUAGUUUGCUUCCAUCUUUUAGAGCUUCGUGGCGUAAGAAACUAACCUAGAACAAAUGAAGAUUAAAUAUUCCUGGGCAAUGUAGAGCUAGUAAACAGAUUAUCCCUAGACUUCACCUCAGGCCACUGGAGCAGAAGUUCUACACACUAGAAAUGUAAUGGGAUCAGCCUAACAUUUUGGGGGUUCGGUUUUCUUUUGCUGUAUUUUUUAGAAUGGGGAUGGGGGCCUAAGUGUCCUUACGAAGCUGCGGCCCAUGACAAGAGCUUGUGGGAGGGCGCCAGCCUUCCGCUGCGCUCCUGCACCUGGCAGCGCAACAGCAAAGCACCAGUUUUUAAUCAAGCAGCCCUCACAUUAAAUAAAACCAUCAUAGAAUCUAUUGUACAGUUAUGUUGCUAAUUUUCCUUUGAAAUAUAAAAUAUUUUAAGCUUUUUUUGUCAAAAGUGGUAACAUCUUAAUACAAAUAAAAACCUUUUUGUGGUUGUAAGAUUUAGCUUAUAAAUCAUUCAAAUUGAAGUGAAAGAUUACCAGGUCAUUGUUAAUGACUUAGUCUAUUAAGAAUAUAUGUAUUUUUGUAAAGGAAAAGCACUUGUAGAUAUUUAAUCAGUACAAGAUAUAUGUCUGUUUUGCAGAAAAUAAAAUGCUGCUUAGAGAUUCUCUUUAAAUAUUUUUUAUUUUUGUGCUCAAAUGUAUUUUCUGUUGAUCAAUGGAAUGUUCUGUAUAAAAGCUGUAUGGUUGUACCGUUGGGCUAGAUUCUUUUGUUUUUUAAAAUCUGGACUUAGCCAAGUAUAUUUGACCAUGUUAAAAAUAGUAUCUUUGUUAUUAAAAUUUUGAUUGCAUAAUU